RNAcentral lists this ribosomal RNA (185 nucleotides) under uncultured bacterium. Its description in RNAcentral is "partial 16S ribosomal RNA". It matches the Rfam family "Bacterial small subunit ribosomal RNA", at positions 338 to 524 of the family's 1533-position model. The record is from RNAcentral.
CCUACGGGAGGCAGCAGUAGGGAAUAUUGCGCAAUGGAGGGAACUCUGACGCAGCGACGCCGCGUGAGCGAUGAAGGUCUUCGGAUCGUAAAGCUCUGUCCUUGGGGAAGAAGGGAGCCGUAAGGCUUCUUGACGGUACCCAUGGAGGAAGCCCCGGCUAACUACGUGCCAGCAGCCGCGGUAAU